This 66-nucleotide transfer RNA is filed under the name Acanthotermes acanthothorax. RNAcentral's name for it is "tRNA-Ile". RNAcentral also lists the same sequence under 2 other names. The record is from RNAcentral. Lineage: Eukaryota; Metazoa; Arthropoda; Insecta; Blattodea; Termitidae.
AAUGAUGAGCCUGAUUAAAGGACUAUCGUGAUAGGAUAAAACAUGUAGAACAAACUACCUUCAUUA